RNAcentral lists this transfer RNA (68 nucleotides) under Marmota monax (woodchuck). Its description in RNAcentral is "tRNA.Ala". The record is from RNAcentral. Lineage: Eukaryota; Metazoa; Chordata; Mammalia; Rodentia; Sciuridae.
GAAUUGUGGCUCAGUGGUAGAGUGCUUUCCUAGCAAGUGUGAGGCACUGGGUUUGAUUCUCAGCACCA